GACGAACGCUGGCGGCGUGCCUAAUACAUGCAAGUAGAACGCUGAAGAGAGGAGCUUGCUCUUCUUGGAUGAGUUGCGAACGGGUGAGUAACGCGUAGGUAACCUGCCUUGUAGCGGGGGAUAACUAUUGGAAACGAUAGCUAAUACCGCAUAACAAUGGAUGACCCAUGUCAUUUAUUUGAAAGGGGCAAAUGCUCCACUACAAGAUGGACCUGCGUUGUAUUAGCUAGUAGGUGAGGUAACGGCUCACCUAGGCGACGAUACAUAGCCGACCUGAGAGGGUGAUCGGCCACACUGGGACUGAGACACGGCCCAGACUCCUACGGGAGGCAGCAGUAGGGAAUCUUCGGCAAUGGGGGCAACCCUGACCGAGCAACGCCGCGUGAGUGAAGAAGGUUUUCGGAUCGUAAAGCUCUGUUGUAAGUCAAGAACGAGUGUGAGAGUGGAAAGUUCACACUGUGACAGUAGCUUACCAGAAAGGGACGGCUAACUACGUG
Molecule: ribosomal RNA, 497 nt
Filed under: uncultured bacterium
Lineage: Bacteria
Description: partial 16S ribosomal RNA
Rfam family: Bacterial small subunit ribosomal RNA
Source: RNAcentral